AACGAACGCUGGCGGCAUGCCUAACACAUGCAAGUCGAACGAGACCUUCGGGUCUAGUGGCGCACGGGUGCGUAACGCGUGGGAACCUGCCAUUAGGUUCGGAAUAACUCCCCGAAAGGGGUGCUAAUACCGGAUAAUGUCUUCAUACCAAAGAUUUAUCGCCUUUGGAUGGGCCCGCGUUGGGUUGGCUAGGUGGUAGGGUAAAAGCCUACCAAGGCGACGAUCCAUAGCUGGUCUGAGAGGAAGGUCAGCCACACUGGGACUGGGACCCGGCCCAGACUGCUGCGGGAAGCAGGAAUUGGGAAUAAUGGGCCAUGGGCCGAAGGCUGAUACAGCAAUUGCGGGUGGAUGGUGAAGGGCUUAGGGUUGUAAAGCUCUUUUACCCGGGAUGAUAAUGACAGUACCGGGAGAAUAAGCUCCGGCUAACUCCGUG
This 433-nucleotide ribosomal RNA is filed under the name uncultured bacterium. Its description in RNAcentral is "partial 16S ribosomal RNA". It matches the Rfam family "Bacterial small subunit ribosomal RNA", at positions 29 to 507 of the family's 1533-position model. The record is from RNAcentral.